GGGCCGGUAGCUCAGCAAGGUAGAGCGGCGGUCUCCUAGCGCGCGGGAAGGUCGGGGGUUCAAGUCCCUCCCGGCCCACCA
RNAcentral lists this transfer RNA (81 nucleotides) under Thermofilum adornatum 1505. RNAcentral describes it as "Thermofilum adornatus 1505 tRNA-Arg". It matches the Rfam family "tRNA". From Rfam's summary of the family: Transfer RNA (tRNA) molecules are approximately 80 nucleotides in length. Their secondary structure includes four short double-helical elements and three loops (D, anti-codon, and T loops). Further hydrogen bonds mediate the characteristic L-shaped molecular structure. tRNAs have two regions of fundamental functional importance: the anti-codon, which is responsible for specific mRNA codon recognition, and the 3' end, to which the tRNAs corresponding amino acid is attached (by aminoacyl-tRNA synthetases). tRNAs cope with the degeneracy of the genetic code in two manners: having more than one tRNA (with a specific anti-codon) for a particular amino acid; and 'wobble' base-pairing, i.e. permitting non-standard base-pairing at the 3rd anti-codon position. The record is from RNAcentral. Lineage: Archaea; Thermoproteati; Thermoproteota; Thermoprotei; Thermofilales; Thermofilaceae.